Molecule: long non-coding RNA, 655 nt
Filed under: Numida meleagris (helmeted guineafowl)
Lineage: Eukaryota; Metazoa; Chordata; Aves; Galliformes; Numididae
Description: lncRNA (ENSNMEG00000008021.1)
Source: RNAcentral
AACAGCUCUUUAGCACUGUUAUGUAUUAAACCUGCGAUCAUUUAGUGUACACUGCUUGUUGUUUUUAUUAGUUUUUGUAAUAAACCUUCUAAAUUUACACAGUCAGGUGUCCAGGUGCUGGCCCGGGUAUAGCUAACUGAACAAACUGAGGAAUUACAGAGAGCUUCUGUGAAGGAUGGAUGGCCUGCCACCAGAUGGAGAUCGAGAUCUUUUCCCAAAGAAGUCCACGCCGUUUCUUAAGGAAAGCCCAAGAGUAGUCGAAGUUAUUCCCUUCUUUUGCCACUUCAGAUCAUGCGUUCUAAGAGUUUAGUGCCAGGGCCUGCAAAUAUGGAAUCCUGAGUUUACGACCCACUGAAGAGGAAGCCUCGCUUGUGGUUAGCGGAUAAGCAAGUGGUGGAAGACCUGACUGCCAAUCCUGAUUCUGUCACUAACUCGUUGCAUGAUCUUGCGUAAGGAAUUCAGGCUUUGCCACAAUUUCCCUUUCAGGAAAGGGGGAAGGAUUUAAUAGUUUCACAGUAAUGGUUCCUUUUACCAACUCUUCUGGAAACUAUGGAAUAAGUUUAAAUAUAACAGGAUGAAAUGGUAUUCCUAUUUCAUUCUGAAUCAUUAAAGAGAAUUCCAUUUAUGGUAAUCAGCUCCCUCUUUUCACCCUCGG